GAUGAACGCUGGCGGCGUGCCUAAUACAUGCAAGUCGAGCGAACGGACGAGAAGCUUGCUUUUCUGAUGUUAGCGGCGGACGGGUGAGUAACACGUGGAUAACCUACCUAUAAGACUGGGAUAACUUCGGGAAACCGGAGCUAAUACCGGAUAAUAUUUUGAACCGCAUGGUUCAAAAGUGAAAGACGGUCUUGCUGUCACUUAUAGAUGGAUCCGCGCUGCAUUAGCUAGUUGGUAAGGUAACGGCUUACCAAGGCAACGAUGCAUAGCCGACCUGAGAGGGUGAUCGGCCACACUGGAACUGAGACACGGUCCAGACUCCUACGGGAGGCAGCAGUAGGGAAUCUUCCGCAAUGGGCGAAAGCCUGACGGAGCAACGCCGCGUGAGUGAUGAAGGUCUUCGGAUCGUAAAACUCUGUUAUUAGGGAAGAACAUAUGUGUAAGUAACUGUGCACAUCUUGACGGUACCUAAUCAGAAAGCCACGGCUAACUACGUGCCAGCAGCCGCGGUAAUACGUAGGUGGCAAGCGUUAUCCGGAAUUAUUGGGCGUAAAGCGCGCGUAGGCGGUUUUUUAAGUCUGAUGUGAAAGCCCACGGCUCAACCGUGGAGGGUCAUUGGAAACUGGAAAACUUGAGUGCAGAAGAGGAAAGUGGAAUUCCAUGUGUAGCGGUGAAAUGCGCAGAGAUGUGGAGGAACACCAGUGGCGAAGGCGACUUUCUGGUCUGUAACUGACGCUGAUGUGCGAAAGCGUGGGGAUCAAACAGGAUUAGAUACCCUGGUAGUCCACGCCGUAAACGAUGAGUGCUAAGUGCUAGGGGGUUUCCGCCCCUUAGUGCUGCAGCUAACGCAUUAAGCACUCCGCCUGGGGAGUACGACCGCAAGGUUGAAACUCAAAGGAAUUGACGGGGGCCCGCACAAGCGGUGGAGCAUGUGGUUUAAUUCGAAGCAACGCGAAGAACCUUACCAAAUCUUGACAUCCUUUGACAACUCUAGAGAUAGAGCCUUCCCCUUCGGGGGACAAAGUGACAGGUGGUGCAUGGUUGUCGUCAGCUCGUGUCGUGAGAUGUUGGGUUAAGUCCCGCAACGAGCGCAACCCUUAAGCUUAGUUGCCAUCAUUAAGUUGGGCACUCUAAGUUGACUGCCGGUGACAAACCGGAGGAAGGUGGGGAUGACGUCAAAUCAUCAUGCCCCUUAUGAUUUGGGCUACACACGUGCUACAAUGGACAAUACAAAGGGCAGCGAAACCGCGAGGUCAAGCAAAUCCCAUAAAGUUGUUCUCAGUUCGGAUUGUAGUCUGCAACUCGACUACAUGAAGCUGGAAUCGCUAGUAAUCGUAGAUCAGCAUGCUACGGUGAAUACGUUCCCGGGUCU
Molecule: ribosomal RNA, 1372 nt
Filed under: uncultured bacterium
Lineage: Bacteria
Description: bacterial SSU rRNA
Rfam family: Bacterial small subunit ribosomal RNA
Source: RNAcentral